RNAcentral lists this transfer RNA (72 nucleotides) under Stegodyphus mimosarum. It matches the Rfam family "tRNA". From Rfam's summary of the family: Transfer RNA (tRNA) molecules are approximately 80 nucleotides in length. Their secondary structure includes four short double-helical elements and three loops (D, anti-codon, and T loops). Lineage: Eukaryota; Metazoa; Arthropoda; Arachnida; Araneae; Eresidae. The record is from Rfam by way of RNAcentral.
GCCUUCGUGGUGUAGUGGACAGCCCGCUCGACUCUAAUCGAGAGGUCCGUGGUUCGAUUCCCGACGAAAGCG